This 365-nucleotide ribosomal RNA is filed under the name Sinobacterium caligoides. Its description in RNAcentral is "bacterial SSU rRNA". It matches the Rfam family "Bacterial small subunit ribosomal RNA", at positions 1 to 360 of the family's 1533-position model. The record is from RNAcentral. Lineage: Bacteria; Pseudomonadati; Pseudomonadota; Gammaproteobacteria; Cellvibrionales; Spongiibacteraceae.
UUAAACUGAAGAGUUUGAUCAUGGCUCAGAUUGAACGCUGGCGGCAGGCUUAACACAUGCAAGUCGAGCGGAAACGAUGAUAGCUUGCUAUCAGGCGUCGAGCGGCGGACGGGUGAGUAACGCGUAGAAAUCUACCUAGUAGUGGGGAACAACCUGUGGAAACGCAGGCUAAUACCGCAUACGUCCUACGGGAGAAAGGGGGCCUCUUCUUGAAAGCUCUCGCUAUUAGAUGAGUCUGCGUCGGAUUAGCUAGUUGGUGGGGUAAAGGCUCACCAAGGCGACGAUCCGUAGCUGGUCUGAGAGGAUGAUCAGCCACACUGGGACUGAGACACGGCCCAGACUCCUACGGGAGGCAGCAGUGGGGA